UACGUAGGUGGCAAGCGUUGUCCGGAUUUACUGGGCGUAAAGAGCGCGCAGGCGGUCGGAUAAGUCGAAUGUGAAAGCCCCCGGCUUAACUGGGGAGGGUCAUUCGAUACUGUUCGACUGGAAGGCAGGAGAGGGAAGCGGAAUUCCCGGUGUAGUGGUGAAAUGCGCAGAUAUCAGGAGGAACACCGGUGGCGAAGGCGGUUCUCUGGGCCUGUACUGACGCUGAGGAGCGAAAGCGUGGGGAGCGAACAGG
This 253-nucleotide ribosomal RNA is filed under the name uncultured bacterium. Its description in RNAcentral is "partial 16S ribosomal RNA". It matches the Rfam family "Bacterial small subunit ribosomal RNA", at positions 524 to 776 of the family's 1533-position model. The record is from RNAcentral.